ACUGCUCAGUAACACGUGGACAACCUGCCCUUAGGUUGGGUAUAAACCCGGGAAACUGGGUAUAAUACCCGAUAGGUCUCGAUUGCUGGAAUGCAUCGAGAUUUAAAGCUCCGGCGCCUAAGGAUGGGUCUGCGGCCUAUCAGGCAGUAGUGGGUGUAGCGUACCUACUAGCCUACGACGGGUACGGGUUGUGAGAGCAAGAGCCCGGAGAUGGAUUCUGAGACACGAAUCCAGGCCCUACGGGGUGCAGCAGGCGCGAAAACUUUACAAUGCUGGCAACAGCGAUAAGGGAACCUCGAGUGCCAGGUUACAAAUCUGGCUGUCGAGAUGCCUAAAAAGCAUUUCAUAGCAAGGGCCGGGCAAGACCGGUGCCAGCCGCCGCGGUAACACCGGCGGCUCGAGUGGUAACCGUUAUUAUUGGGUCUAAAGGGUCUGUAGCCGGCCGGAUAAGUCUCUUGAGAAAUCUGGCGGCUUAACUGUCAGGCUUUCAGGAGAUACUGUCUGGCUCGAGGCCGGGAGAGGUGAGAGGUACUUCAGGGGUAGGGGUGAAAUCUUGUAAUCCUUGAAGGACCACCAGUGGCGAAGGCGUCUCACCAGAACGGACCUGACGGCAAGGGACGAAAGCUAGGGGCACGAACCGGAUUAGAUACCCGGGUAGUCCUAGCCGUAAACGAUACUCGCUAGGUGUCGGCCACGGUGCGACCGUUGUCGGUGCCGUAGGGAAGCCGUGAAGCGAGCCACCUGGGAAGUACGGCCGCAAGGCUGAAACUUAAAGGAAUUGGCGGGGGAGCAC
This 793-nucleotide ribosomal RNA is filed under the name uncultured archaeon. Its description in RNAcentral is "bacterial SSU rRNA". It matches the Rfam family "Archaeal small subunit ribosomal RNA", at positions 85 to 879 of the family's 1478-position model. The record is from RNAcentral.